Molecule: long non-coding RNA, 810 nt
Organism: Odontomachus brunneus
Lineage: Eukaryota; Metazoa; Arthropoda; Insecta; Hymenoptera; Formicidae
Exons: 3
Source: RefSeq, a predicted model, not a curated record
GCUGUAUUCAUUCAGUAUGAUCCCUUGAUUGUUUCGAACAAUUGUAUAUAAAAAUAUACAAGGUGCAUUAAAAUCGCCAUCAUCAUCAUAUAUAAUGAUUACUUUUCUCGCAAUUUGCCUCACAUUAAUAAUUUCUACAAUCAUCGCGAUACAAUCAUUCUCGUUUUUUCCAUUUACAUUCUCGUUGAAAUUGUGUUCUUGCGAGGCAAUCUUUCGUUAAAAUAAAUUCGGCUGAGUUUCACGAAAUUGAACUUUGUACAAAUACCGUGGAUGUGUGCGUUCCAACAAUGCUGCAAUUAAUCGUGCCGCGACAGAUUAUUUAUAUUAAACGAAUUUGCUUUUCGCCGCUUGAACCCGUAGAUUUCAUUUCGAGAUAAGUGAAAAUCUCUCAUCGGUACAAUUGAAAUAUUUGUUUGAGCGUGGUUGAAAUGUGAAAUUUAUUCGCGUCGUAAGUAUGAAAUAUCGUGAGUGUAAUGAAACAAAGUGGAAUCAACGGAGCACAAUGAAGAACGGAGACAGGACGCUUCUGAGUGACGGAUGCGAAACGAUACGGUUGCGAACGAUCCGGGAUGCAGUGGGGCGGCGGCGGAGACUUUCGUCAGAAGACCUGACUGGACAUCGAUAGAUAUCAACAAUCUGCAUUGAGAUUCAAUAGAGCAGACGCAGUCACGCGACUCUAGGGGGUGCGAUGCCUGAAGAAUGCCGUGCCGGAGGAUUCGGCUCGGGCCUAUCUGAGUCGGCUCGAAGAGACGAAACACAACCAGCCGACUCUUAGGGGCUGCUGCGCCAGAGGAUCUGGCUCGGGCCAAG